RNAcentral lists this ribosomal RNA (254 nucleotides) under uncultured bacterium. Its description in RNAcentral is "partial 16S ribosomal RNA". It matches the Rfam family "Bacterial small subunit ribosomal RNA", at positions 524 to 776 of the family's 1533-position model. The record is from RNAcentral.
UACGGGGGGAGCAAGCGUUGUUCGGAUUUACUGGGCGUAAAGGGCGCGUAGGCGGCCACCGCAAGUCGACUGUGAAAUCUCCGGGCUUAACCCGGAAAGGUCAGCCGAUACUGCGGGGCUAGAGUGCAGAAGGGGCAACUGGAAUUCUCGGUGUAGCGGUGAAAUGCGUAGAUAUCGAGAGGAACACCUGCGGCGAAGGCGGGUUGCUGGGCUGACACUGCCGCUGAGGCGCGAAAGCUAGGGGAGCGAACGGG